This 26449-nucleotide long non-coding RNA is filed under the name Triticum aestivum (bread wheat). RNAcentral describes it as "long non-coding RNA (TAES_LNC017341)". Lineage: Eukaryota; Viridiplantae; Streptophyta; Magnoliopsida; Poales; Poaceae. The record is from RNAcentral.
UCCUAGGCCACAAGACCGCAAUCGCUAUUGCUAUCCUGGUGGUGCAGACAUGUGUGCCAGCAAACACAAAUAAAUUUCAAGUACUAGUUGUUGUCGAGCUUAUCGCCGUCGUGGGUGUAAUUACGUUGAACAAGAAGCCCUGUGAUACAUGAAAGUGCAAUCUCAGUUUACGCCAUGAUUGAUUAAUACUCCUACAUGUCUUCUGUUGUUAAGAUGUUUUUUUCCUUUGGGGAAUACCGGUUCCUGAUAAAUUCUUCUGAAUUCUAAUUCUAUCCUGUUUGUUGGUCCCGCAACCAAUGUUUUCGUAGCCUGCUGCAAAUACAUGAUGUGCUGUAGUGCCUGUCGCUGCUUGUUGUGCAGCUUGUCACCGAAUAGCUAUUACUGUAAAAGGAUUUUCCAAAUAGAGAUUCCCUGCCUCGCCCGUUUAGUGAUCUGAUUCGUGAGGGUUUGUAGUUUGAAUUCGCUGCACUGAGCUAGACUGAGGGCAAAUUAUAGUUAGUUUGAACUGCACUGCUGCUAAUAGUUUUGUUCAUAUUGCUGCCCUGGCAUCGAAACUUAUUUGCAGUGCUGGAUUACCUGCUAGGCCCCGCUUGGAUUGGGUGAAUGCCGGGCAGCACACAAAAUUUGCAUCCAGUCCAAUAUUAGUUUGCUGACUUGGUAUAACCUUCAGAGGAGUGUGAAACUUUUAGAUUGAUUUGCGGGCUGUGAAAAUAACUAUAUGGAGAUCUCUGUUUAAUCAUUCACGAUAGGAGGAUCCCUUCUGUUGAGAGCAGCUGGUGGCGAAGCAGCGAUGACCAGGACGUACAGAUCACCUGCACCUGCUGCAUGACGUUGGACGGUAAGUUGGAGUGUACUGGCCGCAUUUUCUUCAGCUGUCCAAUAGUAGUUCAUACGGGAGGUUUUGGGCAACAACGCACACUGUUUUUGUUCCCUCCUUUUUGGGGCGCAAAACAGGAGUUUAGAGUGACAACCCGAGAACAUAUGACUCGGAUAGCAACAUAUCAGCGAGAUACACUUUGUACUAACUUUAAUACAAAGUUAGUACAAAGUAGGGUCAUCUAUUUUAGAACGAAGGGAGUACAGGUUAAGAUAAGGAGAUGUGUUGCAUGGCAGGAUGGCAGGGUAGAAGAAUCAUCGCAAGCACUAGGGCUAACUGCUACAGCUACAGCCUACAGAUUAUGAUACCAAGGCUAGCUGCUACUGGCUGGCCUCGGCACGCACGCGUACCCACCCACCAUCGCGUCCCUAGUGGCUAUCUUAGUCGGUACUCCCAUCUGUCCCAUAAUAAAAGAGCGUUUUUUAUACUACGUACUUACCGACGAGUAAUGGCAGCUUCCAAUGAUGUCAAGACUAUACUAUUCUACUGACGGUAGGAUAUGCAACUGAGGUUAAUUCGGGAUAUAGACAAGAAGAAGUCUUACCUCUGUGAAACCAUCACUGUUGCUAUGCACCCCCUCUGGUUCAGCUUCAAGCCUGCACUGCAAAACAAAACUUGUUCAAGACCUAUGAUUCAGUACCAAUAUGCUCAUGAUGAAUAAUUGCUAGGCGGCAUCAGCUCUAACUUUUCACGCAGCCCAGGUGCUCAUACAUGCAUUCAACUAUCGGUUAUAGCUCAUCCGAUAGUACAAACGAACUCUGAAGCUCUUCAACUAUGGGACAGAAAAUUCAGUCCAUUACGCAAAUUGGUGAUAGUGAGUGAAUCGGGAUUCAAUCGUUGCUGAGAAGCCGAGCAAGUGACUACUCCCAGCUCCAAGAUGCCAAUAUGCCCGUGAUGAAUAAUUGCUAGGCAGCAUUAUCUCUACCUUGUCACGCAAUACAGCUCAUCAUAUCCCACGAGCGAGCUCUCAAGUUCUUCAUUUACAGGACAGAAAGUCAGUACAUUAUGCAAGUCAGUGGUAGUGGGUGAAUCAGGAUUCUGGAUUCAGGCAUUGCUGAGAAACUGAGCAAACGAAUCUCACAUGUCAUCGCCAGAAAUUUGGAAAACAAAGACUACACAGUAGUAUACAACUAGUAAGCUUCGUGUUGCCUGCAUGAGAUGCCUACUGCCACUAGAUUAUAACGGGGCAUCAAACAGAACAUCCCUGCCAUAAUAGAGUCAAAGCAAGUAAAUGGGCCUCAAAUAGGCAGGAACUCAGGACUUGUUAGUUCGGUUGCUCAUAUAGCUUCAGGCUUAUAAGCUAUCAACCAGUAUAGCACCUUACAGGAUGAGCUUAGUAGCCCAUAGAAACAGAAUAACCAAGUUUAUAGAUCUUUAACUGACUAGUACACUCACUUGUUUCAGGGAUUAACGGAGUUUAACAGUUCACAAAGUAAAACAUUCUCUUCAAUAGGGACAGAUCUUCCAAGAAGCAGCCCUUGGAACAAUUUGAAGCAUUGAACACCUAGAAGAUUUCAAAGUUGAUGAGAAUAAACUUGGUUAUGUACUGCUAUUUGACUUUCUGUGUCAGGACCCCGGACUGUGACCUGUGCAUUAUUCGAGACAUCACUUUUUGGCUGGGGUAUCACGCAAACUCACAUGAAUGACACAUGGGCCCCGAAUUAGGUAGAUGGCAGCUACAUGGCGAAUACCGGGGUUAAAUUCAGCCAAAGGUGCCAAAACCAAGCAAGGGUUGAAAAUCGAACUGUUUUAAGAGUACAGGGUACCAAACCAGACCAUUGUAGAGUUCAAGCUUUGAACUGUAUCUGGGGGAGAGUUUAAGGCUAAGACUUUCUUGAAAAGAAAUAUGCUACUGAUCAUUGCCUGAACUCUCAAUUGAAAUGCCAACAUAAAUAAGUGGAUGCAAGCGGUCACGUAUGAAACAGCAAAGGUAUAUGGAAUGUGUAUUCUGUAUUCAUGUUACAGAGACAGAGAUCCAUUGCAAUUUCAGCUAUGGGCCAUAAACUUCCACUACAAAUAUGUUUCUGUAAAUAUCUGAAGACACAACUGAGAUGAAGCAUCAUGUGGUAACCCCGUGCAAGCAAUCCAGCAUUACAAAAGUCACGGGGAAAAAUGGCCUACUGUCGUGAGGUUGCAUCACAAUCUAAAGAAGGCUGUUACUUCUAGCUUUGACAGGUGAAACAUUACCAAUAGGCGUCGCUUCAGUUGUUCAACUCCUGGAGUCCCCAAAAGCUGCUUUGUUCUAGAUCUCAAUUACGAAUCCAUACCUAAUGAGGCCGUCUGUCUGAUGAGCUCAUUGUCAGCCUUCUUCAGAAAAACAUCCCAGCCGCUCCCUUCUCCCCAAUCCAGCAUAUCAUACGGCACUGCUGUCAUUAAUCCUGGCCUCACCGCACCUUGCUCCAUUACCACUCUAAACUCCAGGUCGUCCUCUCCUCGCUGCUCCUCCUCGAGCUCCUCCCAUGUAAACAUAAGGGGCAAGGUGUAGCCGCCCCAAGGAUUGAAAUCAAUCAGCUUCACCCGGCCAUCUGCUCUGACAUACACAUCAAAUGUAUAAUUCUCUGAAGCAAACUGCGGCUCAACAACUUGUUCAAAGAAAUCCUUGAUCUUCGGCUGCAACUCAGCACUCCACCCAGGCAACGAAGGGUAGUAAGCAGACGUGUCCCUCUGCGACACGCCGACCAGCUUUCGUCCCCGCACGAAGCAUCAGAACUCUGACUCGGGGCGGAGGCCCGGGUACCACUUGCGGAGGGCGAGGUAGUACUGGAACCCGUCGUCCACCCAAGUAUCAUCACCAUUGUCUUGUCCAACAUCGUCUUCCGGCGCAUCAUCGCUGCCGGCAACAGCUUGCCUGCCUCCUUCGUUGCAACCAUCAGUGGGAGGAUCACUCAGAGAAUCAGCACCACUGGUGCCCUCUCUGCCAUUUGAUUUAGCACCCGAGUUGUUGGCAUCACUGCCCUGUCCGGCAUUCCGUCGAACACCUUUGUUGGCGCGUACGAAGUCCUGGCAGGACGGGCGCGCGGAGGCGAGGUCGUGCGCGACGCAGUCGGAGGAGCGGAGCAGCAUGGCGACCUCGGCGAAGCAGGUGCAGCGGACGGUGCCAUCGGCGGACAUGAAGGCGGCGUCCUUGGGCGCGCUCCAGUUGAGCUUGGGGAGCGCGGCCCCGCCGAGCUCGGCGAUGGCCGCGUCGACCGCGGCCUCCAGCUCAGGGAAGGCGGGGAGGGGCGGGCUCUCGUCAUCUUCGUCGUCGGAGCAGACGGAGAAGAGGUCGGACCUGUCGUCGUGGUCGACGGGGUCCGGGAGGUGGAGCGGCGGGAAGGGGGUGCGGCCGGAGGUGAGCGCCGGGAGGAGGAAUGGGGGAAGCCCUUCGGCGUCUUGGUGAGGGGCGUCGGGGUGGGGGGCUGGCCGGCGAGGUAGCGGAGGAAGGCGGCGGGGAGGGGGAUGAUGACGGUGGGGAUGGUGUGGCGGCGGAACGCCGGGUACCACUCGUGGAUCUGGCAGCGGAGCAGCUCCUCUAGCAGCAUCUCGCCGACUACUUGGCCGGCUUCGCCUCCGUGCCUAUGGUGGGGGGAGACGCGGCGGCGAGGAAGCGAGCGCCGCCGGUUGGCGCGAGAGAGACCGGUGAAGGUAAAGCUUUUUUUUUCUGAGGGGAGGUGAAGCUUUGCGUUUUUUUGGAUGAAAAUAACUUUAUUCAUCAAAUACCACAGUUUGUGGGAUAAAAGAAGGAUCGUGGGGUGAGUAAGACACAAAUGACGUCCUGAACUAAGAAAACUUUGCUAAGCUAUGAGACCGACGACCUUCAUACAUGAUCUUAUCGUUAAAACUCUCAUCUCUGGCCCUAACUUCAGUGAUGGCCGAGCCAUACAUACCUCUGGCAUUUCGGUUUAUGUCAUCAACUACCUGCUUAGCAUCCGAAGCAAUGAUAAAAUUAUGGAGAGCUAGAUCUUCUGCCAGAGCAUAUGCUUCUCGACAAACAAUUGACUCGAGAAUAGCUACAUCAUAAACUCCAGAAAUAAGCAGAGAAGAGCUUCCCAAAUAUGUGCCAUUCUCAUCCCGGCAAACAGCCGCAGCCGAGCCUCUUGUGCGGUACUUUGAUACUCCUGCAUCCACAUGGAUUUUCGCAAAACCCGUCGGCGGGGCCCUAGGAUGUACACUUCCGCUCAAAAGUUGAUGAUUUGAGACACCGGCUUGCCUUGCUGGUUGUGAAUUCUUGAUGAUCUCCAAAUCCAUCAAGUACCUGUUGAUGAACGCAUGGGUAGCCUGAGGGCUCUGAAAGUCACCUUCAUGUAUAGCCUUCCUUCGAGUUGUCCUGACUGCCCACAGGGUAACCGCUAGCUUGAGGAAAGCGUCAUGUGAUAAUGCUUGGAUCAUCGAGAAUAGCCAUGAUUUUGCUGUUCGUUUUGUUGAUGCCCUCAACUGUUUUGCAAGUUCGCGGUCCACUAGAGUCCAAAUGCAACGAGACAUGGUACGCUCCAAGAGCGAGUGCCUCCAUGAGUCAGGAGCACCACACAGUCCGCAUGAGCUUGUCGUGGACAUGUUCCGAUGAUCUCUGACAUCCUCAAUUGGCAGCAAGUGCCUAGCGAGUCUCCAGAGAAACAUUCUUAUUCUCCCUGGUACUUGGACGCUCCAUAGAGAUUUCCAUGAGCUCCUCUCCCGUGCUAUACUGGACGUUCCGGUUCUACCUUCGAGCCAAUCCUCACGACAUUGUUUAGUAUAAACCAUCACCUUGUAAGCUGACCGGAUCAGAAAGAGACCAUUUUUCUCAUAGUUCCAUGACCAAAAAUCUGAGAUAACUCUAGUACAGAGUGGUAUGCUUGUGAUGGUUGAAAUAUCAAUGGCAAGCAUUACAUGCUGAAUGUGAUGCAUGUCCCAACUGGCAGUGGUGGAGUCAAUUAAUUCUAAAACGUUUUGAGGAGGGUCAUUCACCAAAGAACCAUACGGUCUCAUCAUCUCGUCCCUAUGAAACCAGUUGUCAUUCCAUAUGUUGGUAGUUGAGCCGUCACCAAUUUGAAGUAUCAAGCCUUGCCUAAGUAUGUCCCUUCCUUGGACGAUCGCCCUCCAUAUUUGGCUUGGAUGACUGCCAAGUGCUGCCUCAAGCAUUGAUGUAGCGGGGAAGUAGACACCCUUAAGGACACGAGCACAGAGAGAUUCUGGGACUGAAGUAUCCGCCACACCUGCCUAGCCAGCAAGGCUAAGUUAAAGAGCUCAAAUUCCUUAAAACCCAAGCCUCCCAUAUCCUUUGGUUGUGUCAUAUCCUUCCAUGCCACCCAUGCAAGUUUCCUCCUGCCAUCUCUACUACCCCACCAGAACUUUCGGAUCAGCAUAUUUAGGUGUUCGCACAAACCUCUAGGGAGUUUGAAACAUAACAUGGAGUAGACCGGAACCGCCCGAGCAACCGCUUUGACAAGAGUACCUAUUUCCCUGCCAUUGCCAUGGUUUUUUCUACCCAACCUUGCACCUUGCUCCAUAAACAGUCUUUGAGAUAUUUGAAAGCAUCGUUUUUCAAGAGCCCACAUCCGAUGGCAUCCCAAGAUAUUUUUCGCUCAAGGUUUCAUUUGGGACAUUAAGCAACCCUUUGAUUUCUGCCCUUACAUUGUCAGGAACUCUCUUACAAAAUAUUGAAGAUUUGUCAUAUUUGAUUCUUUGCCCUGUGGCCUGACAAUAAAUGUCCAACAUCUGGUGCACCCCUGAUGCUCCCACUUCAUUUGCCCUGAAAAACACCAGGCUAUCAUCUGCAAAGAAUAAGUGGCUAACUGGCAGCGCCAAAAGAGACACUUGUAGCUUGGUUGAACCACGCAAAGAAGCCCAGUAAAGAGUUCCUCAGGCCCAAUGUGUGAGCGCAUCAGUGGGCCUUGAAGCUUUAUGUCAUCACUCCAUGCGCUCCCAAAGCCCGUACCAGAUUGCCACAAAAAUAAGAAGGCAAAAAAAUAGCUUCCACAUGCCAAUUGUUGAAAAACUUUGUUGAAGAUUGUUGUUAACUUUUAGCUCCUGUAAAUAUUUUAAUGCGCUUACUACUCUAUGAGUACACUUGGGUUGGGUGUGAUAAGGACAGAGUUCGUCCAUGCAUCAUUUUGAAAGAUUCGGAGUUAACUUCCAAAUGAUUCAAAGUCACGCGGCAGGUACGUUCAAGUCCGGCCGGCAACUCCCAAUUUCUGUCUAAUGUAGGUACUCCAUUGUAUUUUCAACUCAAUAUGUCGUUUGUGUUGCUUAGGCAAUCUUUGGAAAUAACAAUGAAUCCGUGGAAGAAGCAACACCUUCAAUGUGAUGCCCAGCAGCUUGCAUCCACCCUGAUACAUAUAUGUGUUGCUAUGGUUUUUGUAAUCAAGGUAAAACAAAAUGCCCAUAGAUCCCAUCUAUCCACUACUCUCUCCAUUCCAAUUACAUGCGUGCAAAACCUGAGCGAGUAUCCGCAUCCCCCCGCUAAGAUAGCGGGCGUGUUGGAGCGCGCUUUCUUGAUGUUGCGCCCAAGCUGUCAAGAGGACCUCGCAGUCUAUGGCGAGACCUAGAGCUAUAUCACUGUCGUCAAGAGCCAGCUAAUAGCACUUGUGCCAACAACAUAACAUCUGGCAAUGCAAGCUCUGCCAUGCUAAUGUAAGUUGUCCCAGCCACAGGAGGCACUCGGGCUUAAAAAGGCGCCGGUUUUGCUUGCAGCCGGCCCGUCCCUCAGUGAUCUUACCAAGACUAAAUAGUCUUGUGACAACUAAUCAGGGCAUUCGGGUAAAGAUCAACUCUCCCCUCCGCACAUUAGCUUAGCUGAGAAAUGCAAGUGAUUUGCGUAGAAACAUAGCAGCAUGGAUAUGUUGUUGGGAUGGGGCGGGUCCAGGCAUCCGAGGAAGCAUCCGUUAAGAAAAAACAGUUUGUUUUUCGCCUUGGACCGACCAAGAAAGUGGCGACCAACAUCGAAAUUAGGAUGGUCGUACGACAGCAUUGGCCCUUGCUAGCUAACGAACAAAAUUCUGAGCAGUGUUGCUAGUGGCUACAUGGUAGAUUGGUACUCCCUUUUUUCAUUAUUGUAAGAUAUUCUACUCCCUUCGUCCCAUACUAUAAGGUGUUAUUACAACCCAUAUAUGAGUACAUUGAUGAGAUGAUAGUGAGUUUGAUAGGCCACUAUGAACUUAGUUAGCUUGCUAGUCUUUGUCUCCUAUAGACGUUCUGCAGGCUGUAUUGAGAUCUAUGUGAACUAGAUUCCUUUGCUUAAUUCAUACACAAUUUUUUAUUUUAGAUUCUAGCAAGACCUCUUAUAUAAACCAGAUGAAAGCAAACACACAGAUGAGCAUACCAAAUAAACAAAUUGUAUGUAAGCAUAACUAAAUUGGCGAUAUGUAUAUGUUCAUCGAUGAUCGGUGAUAUUUCAGUAACAUACAUAUCAUAGAAACUUGUGAAACUAUUCACACACACCAUUAUGCUGUGGUGUUCCAGGUGGCCUAAAUUUGUGAAACUAUUCCACACUGUUUUAAUUGAAGACCAAACUCGUAACUCAAAUAUUUGUCUCCGCGAUCAGAUCAUAGAAAUUUUAUUUUCUUGUCACGAUGAUUUUCCACUUCACUCUGAAAUUCUUUGAACUUUUCAAAUGUUUCAGACUUAUGUUUCAUCAAGUAGAUAUACCCAUAUCUGCUCAAAUCAUCUAUGAAGGUGAGAAAAUAACGAUAUCCGCCACGAGCCUCAAUAUUCAUUGGACCACAUACAUCUGUAUGUAUGACUUCCAACAAAUCUGUUGCUCUCUCCAUAGUUUCGGAGAACGGCGUUUUUAGUCAUCUUGCCCAUGAGGCACGGUUCGCAAGCAUCAAGUGAUUCAUAAUCAAGUGAUUCCAAAAUCCCAUCAGUAUGGAGUUUCUUCAUGCGCUUUACACCAAUAUGACCUAAACGGCAGUGCCACAAAUAAGUUGCACUAUCAUUAUUAACUUUGCAUCUUUUGGCUUCAAUAUUAUGAAUAUGUGUAUCACUACGAUCGAGAUUCAAUAAACCAUUGAGUGUAUGACCAUAGAAGGUUUUAUUCAUGUAAACAGAACAACAAUUAUUCUUCGGUUUAAAUGAAUAACCGUAUUGCGAUAAACAUGAUCCAAUCAUAUUCAUGCUCAACGCACACACCAAUAAUCGUAUUGCAAUAAACAUGAUCCAAUCAUAUUUAUGCUCAACGCAAACACCAAAUAACAUUUAUUUAGGUUCAACACUAAUCCCAAAGGUAAGGGGAGUAUGCGAUGGUGAUCUUAUCAACCUUGGAACCACUUCCAAUACACAUCGUCACUUCAUCCUUAACUAGUUUCUGUUCAUUAUGCAACUCCCGUUUCGAGUUACUACUCUUUAGCAACUGAACCAGUAUCAAAUACCGAGGGGUUGCUACGAACACUAGUAAAAUACACAUCAAUAAUCUGUAUAUCAAAUAUACCUUUGUUCACUUUGCCAUCCUUCUUAUCCACCAAAUACUUGGGGUAGUUCCGCUUCCAGUGACCAGUCCUUUUGCAGUAGAAGCACUUAGUCUCAGGCUUAGGUCCAGAUUUGGGCUUCUUCACUUGAGCAGCAACUUGCUUGCCAUUCUUCUUGAAGUUCCCCUUCUAUCCCUUUGCCCUUUUCUUGAAACUAGUGGUCUUGUUAACCAUCAACACUUGAUGUUUUUCUUGAUUUCUACCUUCGUCGAUUUCAGCAUUACGAAGAGCUCGAGAAUUACUUUCGUCAUCCCUUGCAUAUUAUAGUUCAUCACGAAGUUCUACUAACUUGGUGAUGGUGACUAGAGAAUUCUGUCAAUCACUAUUUUAUCUGGAAGAUUAACUCCCACUUGAUUCAAGCGAUUGUAGUACCCAGACAAUCUGAGCACAUGCUCACUAGUUGAGCGAUUCUCCUCCAUCUUUUAGCUAUAGAACUUGUUGGAGACUUCAUAUCUCUCAACUCGGGUAUUUGCUUGAAAUAUUAACUUCAACUCCUGGAACAUCUCAUAUGGUCCAUGACGUUCAAAACGUCUUUGAAGUCCCGAUUCUAAGCCGUUAAGCAUGGUGCACUAAACUAUCAAGUAGUCAUCAUAUUGAGCUAGCCAAACGUUCAUAACGUCUGCAUCUGCUCCUGCAAUAGGUCUGUCACCUAGUGGUGCAUCAAGGACAUAAUUCUUCUGUGCAGCAAUGAGGAUAAUCCUCAGAUCAUGGAUCCAAUCCACAUCAUUGCUACUAAUAUCUUUCAACAUAAUUUUUCUCUAGGAACAUAUCAAAAUAAACAUAGGGAAGUAACAACGCGAGCUAUUGAUCUACAACAUAAUUUGCAAAAUACUAUCAGGACUAAGUUCAUGAUAAAUUUAAGUUCAAUUAAUCAAAUUACUUAAGAACUCCCACUUAGAUAGACAUCCCUCUAAUCCUCUAAGUGAUCACGUGAUCCAUAUCAACUAAACCAUGUCCGAUCAUCACGUGAGAUGGAGUAGUUUCAACGGUGAACAUCACUAUGUUGAUCAUAUCUACUAUAUGAUUCACGCUCGACCUUUCGGUCUCCGUGUUCCGAGGCCAUAUCUGUUAUAUGCUAGGCUCGUCAAGUUUAACCUGAGUAUUCCGCGUGGGCAACUGUUUUGCACCCGUUGUAUUUGAACGUAGAGCCUAUCACACCCGAUCAUCACGUGGUGUCUCAGCACGAAGAACUUUCGCAACGGUGCAUACUCAGGGAGAACACUUAUACUUUGAUAAUUUAGUGAAGGAUCAUCUUAUAAUGCUACCGUCAAACAAAGCAAGAUAAGAUGCAUAAAGGAUUAACAUCACAUGCAAUCAAUAUAAGUGAUAUGAUAUGGCCAUCAUCAUCUUGUGCUUGUGAUCUCCAUCUCCGAAGCACCGUCAUGAUCACCAUCGUCACCGGCGCGACACCUUGAUCUCCAUCGUAGCAUCGUUGUCGUCUCGUCAAUCUUAUGCUUCUACGACUAUCGCUACCGCUUAGUGAUAAAGUAAAGCAUUACAUGGCGAUUGCAUUGCAUACAAUAAAACGACAACCAUAUGGCUCCUGCCAGUUGCCGAUAACUCGGUUACAAAACAUGAUCAUCUCAUACAACAAAUUAUAUCACAUCAUGUCUUGACCAUAUCACAUCACAACAUGCCCUGCAAAAACAAGUUAGACGUCUUCUACUUUGUUGUUGCAAGUUUUACGUGGCUGCUACGGGCUUAGCAAGAACCGUUCUUACCUACACAUCAAAACCACAACGAUAGUUUGUCAAGUUGGUGCUGUUUUAACCUUCGCAAGGACCGGGCGUAGCCACACUCGGUUCAACUAAAGUGAGAGAGACAGACACCCGCCAGUCACCUUUAAGCAACGAGUGCUCGCAACGGUGAAACCAGUCUCGCGUAAGCGUACGCGUAAUGUCGGUCCGGGCCGCUUCAUCUCACAAUACCGCUGAACCAAAGUAUUACAUGCUGGUAAGCAGUAUGACUUAUAUCGUCCACAACUCACUUGUGUUCUACUCGUGCAUAGCAUCAACGCAUAAACCAGGCUCUGAUACCACUGUUGGGGAACGUAGUAAUUUCAAAAAAUUUCCUACGCACACACAAGAUCAUGGAGAUGCAUAGCAACGAGAGGGGAGAGUGUUGUCCACCAACCCUCGUAGACCGACAGCGGAAGCGUUAUCACAACGCGGUUGAUGUAGUCGUAUGUCUUCACGAUCCGACCGAUCAAGUACCGAAUGCACGACACCUCCGAGUUCUACACACGUUCAGCUCGAUGACAUCCCUCGAACUCCGAUCCAGCCGAGUGUUGAGGGAGAGUUUCGUCAGCACGACGGCGUGGUGACGAUGAUGAUGUUCCACCGACGCAGGGCUUCGCCUAAGCUCCGCAACGGUAUUAUCGAGGUGUAAUAUGGUGGAGGGGGGCACCGCACACGGCUAAGAGAUCUCAAGGAUCAAUUGUUGUGUCUCUGGGGUGCCCCCCUGCCCCCGUAUAUAAAGGAGCAAGGGGGAGGCAGCCGGCCAAGGAGAGAGGCGCGCCAUAGGGGGGAGUCCUACUCCCACCGGGAGUAGGACUCCUCCUUUCCUUGUGGGAGUAGGAGAAGGGAAGGGGGAGGAGAAAGAAGGAAGGGUGCGCCCCCCUUCCCUAGUCCAAUUCGGACCAGACCAUGGGGAGGGGUGCGGCCACCUUUUGAGGCCUUUCUCUCCUUUCCCGUAUGGCCCAUUAAGGCCCAAUACGAAUUCCCGUAACUCUCCAGUACUCCGAAAAAUACCCGAAUCACUCGGAACCUUUCCGAAGUCCGAAUAUAGUCGUCCAAUAUAUCGAUUUUUACGUCUCGACCAUUUCGAGACUCCUCGUCAUAUCACCGAUCUCAUCCGGGACUCCGAACUCCUUCGGUACAUCAAAACUCAAUAAAACUGUCAUCGUAACGUUAAGCGUGCGGACCCUACGGGUUCGAGAACUAUGUAGACAUGACCGAGACACGUCUCUGGUCAAUAACCAAUAGAGGGACCUGGAUGCCCAUAUUGGCUCCCACAUAUUCUACGAAGAUCUUUAUCGGUCAGACCGCAUAACAACAUACGUUGUUCCCUUUGUCACCGGUAUGUUACUUGCCCGAGAUUUGAUCGUCGGUAUCUCGAUACCUAGUUCAAUCUCGUUACCAGCAAGUCUCUUUACUCGUUUCGUAACACAUCAUCCCGCAACUAACUCAUUAGUCACAAUGCUUGCAAGGCUUAUAGUGAUGUGCAUUACCGAGUGGGCCCAGAGAUACCUCUCCGACAAUCGGAGUGACAAAUCCUAAUCUCGAAAUACGCCAACCCAACAAGUACCUUUGGAGACACCUGUAGAGCACCUUUAUAAUCACCCAUUUACGUUGUGACGUUUGGUAGCACACAAAGUGUUCCUCCGGUAAACGGGAGUUGCAUAAUCUCAUAGUCAUAGGAACAUGUAUAAGUCAUGAAGAAAGCAAUAACAACAUACUAAACGAUCGAGUGCUAAGCUAACGGAAUGGGUCAAGUCAAUCACGUCAUUCUCCCAAUGAGGUGAUCUCGUUAAUCAAAUGACAACUUAUGUCUAUGGCUAGGAAACAUAACCAUCUUUGAUUAACGAGCUAGUCAAGUAGAGGCAUACUAGUGACACUCUGUUUGUCUAUAUAUUCACACAUGUAUUAUGUUUCCGGUUAAUACAAUUCUAGCAUGAAUAAUAAACAUUUAUCAUGAUACAAGGAAAUAAAUAAUACUUUAUUAUUGCCUCUAGGGCAUAUUUCCUUCAGUCUCCCGCUUGCACUAGAGUCAAUAAUCUAGUUCACAUCGCCAUGUGAUUUAACAUGAAUAGUUCACAUCACCAUGUGAUUAACACCCAUAGUUCACAUCGUCAUGUGACCAUCACCCAAAGGGUUUACUAGAGUUAGUAAUCUAGUUCACAUCGCUAUGUGAUUAACACCCAAAGAGUACUAAGGUGUGAUCAUGUUUUGCUUGUGAGAUAAUCUUAGUCAACGGGUCUGUCACAUUCAGAUCCGUAAGUAUUUUGCAAAUUUCUAUGUCUACAAUGCUCUACAUGGAGCUACUCUAGCUAAUUGCUCCCACUUUCAAUAUGUAUCUAGACCGAGACUUAGAGUCAUCUAGAUUAAUGUCAAAAUUUGCAUCGACGUAACCUUUUACGACGAGCCUUUUGUCACUUCCAUAAUCGAGAAACAUAUCCUUAUUCCAGUAAGGAUAAUUUUGACCGCUGUCCAGUGAUCUACUCCUAGAUCACUAUUGUACUCCCUUGCCAAAAUCAGUGUAGGGUAUACAAUAGAUCUGGUACACAGCAUGGCAUACUUUAUAGAACCUAUGGCCGAGGCAUAGGGAAUGACUUUCAUUCUUUUUCUAUCUUCUGCCGUGGUCGGGUUUUGAGUCUUACUCAAUUUCACACCUUGUAACACAGGUAAGAAACUCUUUCUUUGACUGUUCCAUUUUGAACCACUUCAAAAUCUUGUUAAGGUAUGUACUCAUUGAAAAAACUUAUCAAGCGUCUUGAUCUAUCUCUAUAGAUCUUAAUGCUCAAUAUGUAAGCAGCUUCACCGAGGUCUUUCUUUGAAAAACUCCUUUAUGCUUUGCAGAAUAAUUCUACAUUAUUUCCGAUCAACAAUAUGUCACUUACAUAUACUUAUCAGAAAUGUUGUAGUGCUCCCACUCACUUUCUUGUAAAUACAGGCUUCACUGCAAGUCUGUAUAAAACUAUAUCCUUUGAUCAACUUAUCAAAGCGUAUAUUCCUACUCCGAGAUGCUUGCACCAGUCCAUAGAUGGAUCGCUGGAGCUUGCAUAUUUUGUUAGCACCUUUAGGAUUGACAAAACCUUCUGGUUGCAUCAUAUACAACUCUUCUUUAAUAAAUCCAUUAAGGAAUGCAGUUUUGUUUAUCCAUUUGCCAGAUUUCAUAAAAUGCGACAAUUGCUAACAUGGUUCGGACAGACUUAAGCAUCGCUGCGAGUGAGAAAAUCUCAUCGUAGUCAACACCUUGAACUUUGUCAAAAACCUUUUUCCGACAAGUCUAGCUUUGUAGAUAGUAACACUACUAUCAGCGUCCGUCUUCCUCUUGAAGAUCCAUUUAUUUUCUAUGGCUUGCCGAUCAUCGGGCAAGUCAACCAAAGUCCACACUUUGUUCUCAUACAUGGAUCUCAUCUCAGAUUUCAUGGCCUCAAGCCAUUUUGCGGAAUCUGGGCUCACCAUCGCUUCUUCAUAGUUCGUAGGUUCGUCAUGGUCUAGUAACAUAACCUCCAGAACAGGAUUACCGUACCACUCUGGUGCGGAUCUUACUCUGGUUUACCUACGAGGUUUGGUAGUAACUUGAUCUGAAGAUACAUGAUCAUCAUCAUUAACUUCCUCACUAAUUGGUGUAGGAGUCACUGGAACAGAUUUCUGUGAUGAGCUACUUUCCAAUAAGGGAGCAGGUAUAGUUACCUCAUCAAGUUCUACUUUCCUCCCACUCACUUCUUUCGAGAGAAACUCCUUCUCUAGAAAGAAUCCAUUCUUAGCAAAGAAUGUCUUGCCUUCGGAUCUGUGAUAGAAGGUGUACCCAACUGUCUCCUUUGGGUAUCCUAUGAAGACAAAUUUCUCCGAUUUGGGUCUGAGCUUAUCAGGAUGAAACCUUUUCACAUAAGCAUCGCAACCCCAAACUUUUAAGAAACGAUAACUUUGGUUUCUUGCUAAACCUCAGUUCAUAAGGCGUUGUCUCAACGGAUUUUGAUGGUGCCCUAUUUAACGUGAAUGCAGCUGUCUCUAAUGCAUAACCCCAAAACGAUAGUGGUAAAUUGGUAAGAGACAUCAUAGAUUGCACUAUAUCUAAUAAAGUACGGUUAUGACGUUCGGACACACCAUUAUGCUGUGGUGUUCCAGGUGGCCUAAAUUUGUGAAACUAUUCCACAUUGUUUUAAUUGAAGACCAAACUCGUAACUCAAAUAUUUGUCUCCGCGAUCAGAUCAUAGAAACUUUAUUUUCUUGUCACGAUGAUUUUCCACUUCACUCUGAAAUUCUUUGAACUUUUCAAAUGUUUCAAACUUAUGUUUCAUCAAGUAGAUAUACCCAUAUCUGCUCAAAUCAUCUAUGAAGGUGAGAAAAUAACGAUAUCCACCACGAGCCUCAAUAUUCAUUGGACCACAUACAUCUGUAUGUAUGACUUCCAACAAAUCUGUUGCUCUCUCCAUAGUUCCGGAGAACGGCGUUUUUAGUCAUCUUGCCCAUGAGGCACGGUUCGCAAGCAUAAAGUGAUUCAUAAUCAAGUGAUUCCAAAAUCCCAUCAGUAUGGAGUUUCUUCAUGCGCUUUACACCAAUAUGACCUAAACGGCAGUGCCACAAAUAAGUUGCACUAUCAUUAUUAACUUUGCAUCUUUUGGCUUCAAUAUUAUGAAUAUGUGUAUCACUACGAUCGAGAUUCAAUAAACCAUUGAGUGUAUGACCAUAGAAGGUUUUAUUCAUGUAAACAGAACAACAAUUAUUCUUCGGUUUAAAUGAAUAACCGUAUUGCGAUAAACAUGAUCCAAUCAUAUUCAUGCUCAACGCACACACCAAUAAUCGUAUUGCAAUAAACAUGAUCCAAUCAUAUUUAUGCUCAACGCAAACACCAUAUAACAUUUAUUUAGGUUCAACACUAAUCCCGAAGGUAAGGGGAGUAUGCGAUGGUGAUCUUAUCAACCUUGGAACCACUUCCAAUACACAUCGUCACUUCAUCCUUAACUAGUUUCUGUUCAUUAUGCAACUCCCGUUUCGAGUUACUACUCUUUAGCAACUGAACCAGUAUCAAAUACCGAGGGGUUGCUACGAACACUAGUAAAAUACACAUCAAUAAUCUGUAUAUCAAAUAUACCUUUGUUCACUUUGCCAUCCUUCUUAUCCACCAAAUACUUGGGGUAGUUCCGCUUCCAGUGACCAGUCCUUUUGCAGUAGAAGCACUUAGUCUCAGGCUUAGGUCCAGAUUUGGGCUUCUUCACUUGAGCAGCAACUUGCUUGCCAUUCUUCUUGAAGUUCCCCUUCUAUCCCUUUGCCCUUUUCUUGAAACUAGUGGUCUUGUUAACCAUCAACACUUGAUGUUUUUCUUGAUUUCUACCUUCGUCGAUUUCAGCAUCACGAAGAGCUCGGGAAUUACUUUCGUCAUCCCUUACAUAUUAUAGUUCAUCACGAAGUUCUACUAACUUGGUGAUGGUGACUAGAGAAUUCUGUCAAUCACUAUUUUAUCUGGAAGAUUAACUCCCACUUGAUUCAAGCGAUUGUAGUACCCAGACAAUCUGAGCACAUGCUCACUAGUUGAGCGAUUCUCCUCCAUCUUUUAGCUAUAGAACUUGUUGGAGACUUCAUAUCUCUCAACUCGGGUAUUUGCUUGAAAUAUUAACUUCAACUCCUGGAACAUCUCAUAUGGUCCAUGACGUUCAAAACGUCUUUGAAGUCCCGAUUCUAAGCCGUUAAGCAUGGUGCACUAAACUAUCAAGUAGUCAUCAUAUUGAGCUAGCCAAACGUUCAUAACGUCUGCAUCUGCUCCUGCAAUAGGUCUGUCACCUAGUGGUGCAUCAAGGACAUAAUUCUUCUGUGCAGCAAUGAGGAUAAUCCUCAGAUCAUGGAUCCAAUCCACAUCAUUGCUACUAAUAUCUUUCAACAUAAUUUUUCUCUAGGAACAUAUCAAAAUAAACAUAGGGAAGUAACAACGCGAGCUAUUGAUCUACAACAUAAUUUGCAAAAUACUAUCAGGACUAAGUUCAUGAUAAAUUUAAGUUCAAUUAAUCAAAUUACUUAAGAACUCCCACUUAGAUAGACAUCCCUCUAAUCCUCUAAGUGAUCACGUGAUCCAUAUCAACUAAACCAUGUCCGAUCAUCACGUGAGAUGGAGUAGUUUCAACGGUGAACAUCACUAUGUUGAUCAUAUCUACUAUAUGAUUCACGCUCGACCUUUCGGUCUCCGUGUUCCGAGGCCAUAUCUGUUAUAUGCUAGGCUCGUCAAGUUUAACCUGAGUAUUCCGCGUGGGCAACUGUUUUGCACCCGUUGUAUUUGAACGUAGAGCCUAUCACACCCGAUCAUCACGUGGUGUCUCAGCACGAAGAACUUUCGCAACGGUGCAUACUCAGGGAGAACACUUAUACUUUGAUAAUUUAGUGAAGGAUCAUCUUAUAAUGCUACCGUCAAACAAAGCAAGAUAAGAUGCAUAAAGGAUUAACAUCACAUGCAAUCAAUAUAAGUGAUAUGAUAUGGCCAUCAUCAUCUUGUGCUUGUGAUCUCCAUCUCCGAAGCACCGUCAUGAUCACCAUCGUCACCGGCGCGACACCUUGAUCUCCAUCGUAGCAUCGUUGUCGUCUCGUCAAUCUUAUGCUUCUACGACUAUCGCUACCGCUUAGUGAUAAAGUAAAGCAUUACAUGGCGAUUGCAUUGCAUACAAUAAAACGACAACCAUAUGGCUCCUGCCAGUUGCCGAUAACUCGGUUACAAAACAUGAUCAUCUCAUACAACAAAUUAUAUCACAUCAUGUCUUGACCAUAUCACAUCACAACAUGCCCUGCAAAAACAAGUUAGACGUCUUCUACUUUGUUGUUGCAAGUUUUACGUGGCUGCUACGGGCUUAGCAAGAACCGUUCUUACCUACACAUCAAAACCACAACGAUAGUUUGUCAAGUUGGUGCUGUUUUAACCUUCGCAAGGACCGGGCGUAGCCACACUCGGUUCAACUAAAGUGAGAGAGACAGACACCCGCUAGUCACCUUUAAGCAACGAGUGCUCGCAACGGUGAAACCAGUCUCGCGUAAGCGUACGCGUAAUGUCGGUCCGGGCCGCUUCAUCUCACAAUACCGCUGAACCAAAGUAUGACAUGCUGGUAAGCAGUAUGACUUAUAUCGUCCACAACUCACUUGUGUUCUACUCGUGCAUAGCAUCAACGCAUGAAACCAGGCUCUGAUACCACUGUUGGGGAACGUAGUAAUUUCAAAAAAUUUCCUACGCACACACAAGAUCAUGGUGAUGCAUAGCAACGAGAGGGGAGAGUGUUGUCCACGUACCCUCGUAGACCGACAGCGGAAGCGUUAUCACAACGCGGUUGAUGUAGUCGUACGUCUUCACGAUCCGACCGAUCAAGUACCGAACGCACGGCACCUCUGAGUUCUACACACGUUCAGCUCGAUGACGUCCCUCGAACUCCGAUCCAUCCGAGUGUCGAGGGAGAGUUUCGUCAGCACGACGGCGUGGUGACGAUGAUGAUGUUCCACCGACGCAGGGCUUCGCCUAAGCUCCGCAAUGGUAUUAUCGAGGUGUAAUACGGUGGAGGGGGGCACCGCACCCGGCUAAGAGAUCUCAAGGAUCAAUUGUUGUGUCUCUGGGGUGCCCCCCUGCCCCCGUAUAUAAAGGAGCAAGGGGGAGGCAGCCGGCCAAGGGGAGAGGCGCGCCAUAGGGGGGAGUCCUACUCCCACUGGGAGUAGGACUCCUCCUUUCCUUGUGGGAGUAGGAGAAGGGAAGGGGGAAGGAGAAAGAAGGAAGGGUGCGCCCCCCUUCCCUAGUCCAAUUCGGACCAGACCAUGGGGAGGGGUGCGGCCACAUUUUGAGGCCUUUCUCUCCUUUCCCGUAUGGCCCAUUAAGGCCCAAUACGAAUUCCCGUAACUCUCCGGUACCCCGAAAAAUACCCGAAUCACUCGGAACCUUUCCGAAGUCCGAAUAUAGUCGUCCAAUACAUCGAUUUUUACGUCUCGACCAUUUCGAGACUCCUCGUCAUAUCACCGAUCUCAUCCGGGACUCCGAACUCCUUCAAUACAUCAAAACUCAAUAAAACUGUCAUCGUAACGUUAAGCGUGCGGACCCUACGGGUUCGAGAACUAUGUAGACAUGACCGAGACACGUCUCCGGUCAAUAACCAAUAGCGGGACCUGGAUGCCCAUAUUGGCUCCCACAUAUUCUACGAAGAUCUUUAUCGGUCAGACCGCAUAACAACGUACGUUGUUCCCUUUGUCACCGGUAUGUUACUUGCCCGAGAUUUGAUCGUCGGUAUCUCGAUACCUAGUUCAAUCUCGUUACCGGCAAGUCUCUUUACUCGUUUCGUAACACAUCAUCCCGCAACUAACUCAUUAGUCACAAUGCUUGCAAGGCUUAUAGUGAUGUGCAUUACCGAGUGGGCCCAGAGAUACCUCUCCGACAAUCGGAGUGACAAAUCCUAAUCUCAAAAUACGCCAACCCAACAAGUACCUUUGGAGACAACUGUAGAGCACCUUUAUAAUCACCCAUUUACGUUGUGACGUUUGGUAGCACACAAAGUGUUCCUCCGGUAAACGGGAGUUGCAUAAUCUCAUAGUCAUAGGAACAUGUAUAAGUCAUGAAGAAAGCAAUAGCAACAUACUAAACGAUCGAGUGCUAAGCUAACGAAAUGGGUCAAUUCAAUCACGUCAUUCUCCCAAUGAGGUGAUCUCGUUAAUCAAAUGACAACUUAUGUCUAUGGCUAGGAAACAUAACCAUCUUUGAUUAACGAGCUAGUCAAGUAGAGGCAUACUAGUGACACUCUGUUUGUCUAUAUAUUCACACAUGUAUUAUGUUUCCGGUUAAUACAAUUCUAGCAUGAAUAAUAAACAUUUAUCAUGAUACAAGGAAAUAAAUAAUACUUUAUUAUUGCCUCUAGGGCAUAUUUCCUUCAGUCUCCCACUUGCACUAGAGUCAAUAAUCUAGUUCACAUCGCCAUGUGAUUUAACAUGAAUAGUUCACAUCACCAUGUGAUUAACACCCAUAGUUCACAUCGUCAUGUGACCAUCACCCAAAGGGUUUACUAGAGUCAGUAAUCUAGUUCACAUCGCUAUGUGAUUAACACCCAAAGAGUACUAAGGUGUGAUCAUGUUUUGCUUGUGAGAUAAUCUUAGUCAACGGGUCUGUCACAUUCAGAUCCGUAAGUAUUUUGCAAAUUUCUAUGUCUACAAUGCUCUGCAUGGAGCUACUCUAGCUAAUUGCUCCCACUUUCAAUAUGUAUCUAGACCGAGACUUAGAGUCAUCUAGAUUAGUGUCAAAACUUGCAUCGACGUAACAUUUUACGACGAGCCUUUUGUCACUUCCAUAAUCGAGAAACAUAUCCUUAUUCCAGUAAGGAUAAUUUUGACCGUUGUCCAGUGAUCUACUCCUAGAUCACUAUUGUACUCCCUUGCCAAAAUCAGUGUAGGGUAUACAAUAGAUCUGGUACACAACAUGGCAUACUUUAUAGAACCUAUGGCCGAGGCAUAGGUAAUGACUUUCAUUCUUUUUCUAUCUUCUGCCGUGGUCGGGUUUUGAGUCUUACUCAAUUUCACACCUUGUAACACAGGUAAGAAACUCUUUCUUUGACUGUUCCAUUUUGAACCACUUCAAAAUCUUGUUAAGGUAUGUACUCAUUGAAAAAACUUAUCAAGCGUCUUCAUCUAUCUCUAUAGAUCUUGAUGCUCAAUAUGUAAGCAGCUUCACCGAGGUCUUUCUUUGAAAAACUCCUUUAUGCUUUGCAGAAUAAUUCUACAUUAUUUACGAUCAACAAUAUGUCACUUACAUAUACUUAUCAGAAAUGUUGUAGUGCUCCCACUCACUUUCUUGUAAAUACAGGCUUCACCGCAAGUCUGUAUAAAACUAUAUCCUUUGAUCAACUUAUCAAAGCGUAUAUUCCUACUCCGAGAUGCUUGCACCAGUCCAUAGAUGGAUCGCUGGAGCUUGCAUAUUUUGUUAGCACCUUUAGGAUUGACAAAACCUUCUGGUUGCAUCAUAUACAACUCUUCUUUAAUAAAUCCGUUAAGGAAUGCAGUUUUGUUUAUCCAUUUGCCAGAUUUCAUAAAAUGCGACAAUUGCUAACAUGGUUCGGACAGACUUAAGCAUCGCUGCGAGUGAGAAAAUCUCAUCGUAGUCAACACCUUGAACUUUGUCAAAAACCUUUUUCCGACAAGUCUAGGUUUGUAGAUAGUAACACUACUAUCAGUGUCCGUCUUCCUCUUGAAGAUCCAUUUAUUUUCUAUGGCUUGCCGAUCAUCGGGCAAGUCAACCAAAGUCCACACUUUGUUCUCAUACAUGGAUCUCAUCUCAGAUUUCAUGGCCUCAAGCCAUUUUGCGGAAUCUGGGCUCACCAUCGCUUCUUCAUAGUUCGUAGGUUCGUCAUGGUCUAGUAACAUAACCUCCAGAACAGGAUUACCGUACCACUUUGGUGCGGAUCUUACUCUGGUUUACCUACGAGGUUUGGUAGUAACUUGAUCUGAAGUUACAUGAUCAUCAUCAUUAACUUCCUCAUUAAUUGGUGUAGGAGUCACAGGAACAGAUUUCUGUGAUGAGCUACUUUCCAAUAAGGGAGCAGGUACAGUUACCUCAUCAAGUUCUACUUUCCUCCCACUCACUUCUUUCGAGAGAAACUCCUUCUCUAGAAAGGAUCCAUUCUUAGCAACAAAUGUCUUGCCUUCGGAUCUGUGAUAGAAGGUGUACCCACCUGUCUCCUUUGGGUAUCCUAUGAAGACACAUUUCUCCGAUUUGGGUCUGAGCUUAUCAGGAUGAAACCUUUUCACAUAAGCAUCGCAACCCCAAACUUUUAAGAAACGAUAACUUUGGUUUCUUGCUAAACCUCAGUUCAUAAGGCGUUGUCUCAACGGAUUUUGAUGGUGCCCUAUUUAACAUGAAUGCAGCUGUCUAUAAUGCAUAACCCCAAAACGAUAGUGGUAAAUUGGUAAGAGACAUCAUAGAUUGCACUAUAUCUAAUAAAGUACGGUUAUGAUGUUCGGACACACCAUUAUACUAUGGUGUUCCAGGUGGCCUAAAUUUGUGAAACUAUUCCACAUUGUUUUAAUUUAAGACCAAACUCGUAACUCAAAUAUUUGUCUCCGCGAUUAGAUCAUAGAAACUUUAUUUUCUUGUCACGAUGAUUUUCCACUUCACUCUGAAAUUCUUUGAACUUUUCAAAUGUUUCAGACUUAUGUUUCAUCAAGUAGAUAUACCCAUAUCUGCUCAAAUCAUCUAUGAAGGUGAGAAAAUAACGAUAUCCGCCACGAGCCUCAAUAUUCAUUGGACCACAUACAUCUGUAUGUAUGACUUCCAACAAAUCUGUUGCUCUCUCCAUAGUUCCGGAGAACGGCGUUUUUAGUCAUCUUGCCCAUGAGGCACGGUUCGCAAGCAUAAAGUGAUUCAUAAUCAAGUGAUUCCAAAAUCCCAUCAGUAUGGAGUUUCUUCAUGCGCUUUACACCAAUAUGACCUAAACGGCAGUGCCACAAAUAAGUUGCACUAUCAUUAUUAACUUUGCAUCUUUUGGCUUCAAUAUUAUGAAUAUGUGUAUCACUACGAUCGAGAUUCAAUAAACCAUUGAGUGUAUGACCAUAGAAGGUUUUAUUCAUGUAAACAGAACAACAAUUAUUCUUCGGUUUAAAUGAAUAACCGUAUUGCAAUAAACAUGAUCCAAUCAUAUUCAUGCUCAACGCACACACCAAUAAUCGUAUUGCAAUAAACAUGAUCCAAUCAUAUUUAUGCUCAACGCAAACACCAUAUAACAUUUAUUUAGGUUCAACACUAAUCCCGAAGGUAAGGGGAGUAUGCGAUGGUGAUCUUAUCAACCUUGGAACCACUUCCAAUACACAUCGUCACUUCAUCCUUAACUAGUUUCUGUUCAUUAUGCAACUCCUGUUUCGAGUUACUACUCUUUAGCAACUGAACCAGUAUCAAAUACCGAGGGGUUGCUACGAACACUAGUAAAAUACACAUCAAUAAUCUAUAUAUCAAAUAUACCUUUGUUCACUUUGCCAUCCUUCUUAUCCACCAAAUACUUGGGGUAGUUCCGCUUCCAGUGACCAGUCCUUUUGCAGUAGAAGCACUUAGUCUCAGGCUUAGGUCCAGAUUUGGGCUUCUUCACUUGAGCAGCAACUUGCUUGCCGUUAUUCUUGAAGUUCCCCUUCUAUCCCUUUGCCCUUUUCUUGAAACUAGUGGUCUUGUUAACCAUCAACACUUGAUGUUUUUCUUGAUUUCUACCUUCGUCGAUUUCAGCAUCACGAAGAGCUCGGGAAUUACUUUCGUCAUCCCUUACAUAUUAUAGUUCAUCACGAAGUUCUACUAACUUGGUGAUGGUGACUAGAGAAUUCUGUCAAUCACUAUUUUAUCUGGAAGAUUAACUCCCACUUGAUUCAAGCGAUUGUAGUACCCAGACAAUCUGAGCACAUGCUCACUAGUUGAGCGAUUCUCCUCCAUCUUUUAGCUAUAGAACUUGUUGGAGACUUCAUAUCUCUCAACUCGGGUAUUUGCUUGAAAUAUUAACUUCAACUCCUGGAACAUCUCAUAUGGUCCAUGACGUUCAAAACGUCUUUGAAGUCCCGAUUCUAAGCCGUUAAGCAUGGUGCACUAAACUAUCAAGUAGUCAUCAUAUUGAGCUAGCCAAACGUUCAUAACGUCUGCAUCUGCUCCUGCAAUAGGUCUGUCACCUAGUGGUGCAUCAAGGACAUAAUUCUUCUGUGCAGCAAUGAGGAUAAUCCUCAGAUCAUGGAUCCAAUCCACAUCAUUGCUACUAAUAUCUUUCAACAUAAUUUUUCAUGAGGGUUGAGUAUAAGACUCCACCUUCGUGCAUAGCUCUUGCCUUGGCUUCUAACUUUGUCGGUGCUAAAACUGGCAGAUCUCGGGUAGGGUGUCCCGAGUUGUAGGUCAAAGAACAACGGUAACAGGGAACAAAGGGAGACGAUGCUUACCCAGGCUCGGGCCCUCUUGAAGAGGUAAAACCCUAUGUUCCGCUUUGAUCGUAUUGAUGUGACGGAGUAUAGAGUACAAGAUGAUCUACCUCGAGAUCGUAUAACUAUGUUCUAAACCCUAAGCUGGUAACCGUUGCCUCUAAAGACUAAACCCCUUAGCUUAUAUAUGCACCGAGGGUACCUAGGUUACACACAUGGUCAAUUAUCUUCGCAUCGGCUACAUAGAAAUCCUUGAAGUACACGCCAAGUCUUUAGAGGUUUCCAUCUUGAUCAUGCAGAGGUUCAUAGCUUUGAUGGUCCUUCCUUUAGUGAUCGGCGGGCCAUAAGCCUGGCCUGUGGACUGCAGGCCAUAUAGGUUAAUACCCCCUAGUCCAGGACACCGUCAGUAGCUUCUGAACUCUUCGUCGAAGCCGAAGACUGCAACUCCCUCCUCGGACCAACUUCUUUGGUUUGAUAUCUUCAGCUUGACAGCCAAGUUCCUCGUUCAUCAGUUUGUGUUUGAAUCCGAAUUCGAAGCCUUCGAAGCCUUAUAUCAUCCCUCCGUGCGCUAUAAAAGCCCGUCCUAGAAAUGUAAAAAAAAGCCUGUACUAUUGCCUCAGAAAGGAAAAAAAAGAGGAGGUUACUAAAAAAGGGAAAAAAGGAGGUAAAAAAACUUUCAUCACCCAUGCAUCAAAUCUGAAAGAUUCGGGUUCAGAGCCGAAAAGCUUAUGAGUUGGAUGGCAAAACACGUCUGGACCACGCGGUCCGGAAAAAAGCUGACGGUUUGAGGGUCUGCUUUGGUGAUCCUCUUAAGUUCCUUGUGACGGAACCAACCCAUCGGGGUUCAAGUGCUACACUUGACACUGGUGGUCACUGACGCCACAAUCGCCACAAACGUCACUGACGAAAAGAGACAUGCCUUGAGAUUGAACUUAACUAGUCUGCGGCGAUGAGUUGGUUCAAUCACAAGGAACUUAACCAUACGAGUAUAUUGGAUUGACUCAAGAUCAACUGGAAAAAAACUGAGAUGAGUACGAGUUGAUAUUGAGGCAACCCUGGCUCACUUGAUUUUGACUCGAUAACUUGAUAUCAUAUAGAUAAUCUAGAUAUAUAUUAAAAGAAAAUAGGAUACUUUAUUGCCAUAUUUGUUGUGUACAAUUUUUCUUCAUUUUACCUACUAGCAAACAUGUAAGCUUAAUUAAUCAGAGAGAUAAUUAAGCCUCAAUACUGUACAUGGUGACCCCUGUGUUAAAUAUCCUAUUAUUGUUGGCAAAGUUUGAGCGCAUACGCACCUUAAUUUUCUUCUCUUUGUAGUUCAUCCAGAAUCUCUUGCUAUUAAGUGUUAUUCUCAGUUGAAAAGAAUACCUUGAAUUUUAUAGUGACUUUUUAUGUUGUGUAGUGGCUUAUCUUGAUUGAAAAAUUGCCUUACAUUAUUAAGAUCAAAACUAUCUUGAGAUCUAUACAAACUGAGCAUGAACCACUUUCUACAACUCGACCUUGAGUUUUACUCAGUUUGAGCUUGCUCAUUUUUUUUAAUAUAAGUUGAGGUGAGCCUAGUGCAACUCGCUCGAACUCGAUUUGUUUGCAACCCUACUGAUAAGGAUUUCUUUGCUUCACAUAGAAAAAUAAUAUCCACACAAACUCAAGAAUUAUUAUUUUUUCUUUGAUGCACUGAAACUAAAGCUUUUGUAAACAAAACUUGGUAGGAUUCGAGUGGUCAUGCCAUUACAAUCCUACAUCUUCUAAAAUCAUGUGAAUACAAAAAGUCUUUAUAAUCUCUAGCAACAUAUUGAAACCUUUUCGGUCUUAGCAAUAACAUAGUGAAAACAUUGUUACCAUUACCAAGGAGCUCGCGCAUGCUCUCUGGCAUGUCACCUCUGUUACCUACAACACCCCCACCCCCAUCAAAUACUCUGAGGCUUUGUUUGGUGUCGAGGGGAAGAAAGACCAGUGCGUUCAGUCCCGAUAGGGGAAUUUCAAGAGCACAACAUGUCCCUUUCCUUUCACGAGGAGAGAUCUCCUCCUUGGGGAUGGCCAUUUUUGGUAGUAAAGGGGAGGGGGGGAGGAGAAGAACGGAAGGCAACAUGCUAAGGGAGGCAGAGCUUCGCGAGGAGGCGACGGAGCGUGGUCGCGCGAGAGGAACGAGGCGGGGGGAAUUUCCGCGUGUGCGGAGGCGCGGGUCCGCUGGCCGGGGAAAGCGAGGGUUUUGGGCUGGCGUGCCCCGCAGAUUGAGUCGUCCAAAUGUCGGGCUUGAUUUUCCUGGUGAGAGUUUGCACGUGUCGGGCCCUGGAAAAAGGAAGGGAGCCCGGACGUGGUCUUUUGGGUCUUCUUCGCUUCUAUCAACAUUGAGUGUCGACUAUGGCAUGGCUUUGCCACACCUCACAAUACCUUGGACUAGGUGCGUGAAGAGAAAAGUAGACAUAAGGGGCAGUGACAAAGAAAGAAAGACUAGUAUUUGUGAUGGCAAACAUAACAUUUUCGAUUUUUAUAACGAUAUGCUAGAAAAAUGUUACAGUUGAUGAGUUCGAGUCCAAUGUACUUUUUUUUUU